AUCCUUUUGUAGUUCAUAAGUGUGAUGAUUGAGUUUCCUGCCUAUGUGUGAAAUGUCCUCCUUCAAACCUUGUUACUAUGUUGGCACAUUGGCCAUCUGAUG
This is a small nucleolar RNA of Lemur catta (Ring-tailed lemur), 102 nucleotides long. RefSeq annotates it as small nucleolar RNA U13. Lineage: Eukaryota; Metazoa; Chordata; Mammalia; Primates; Lemuridae. The transcript has a single exon. The record is from RefSeq and is a predicted model, not a curated record.